UCGAGAAUCUUCGGCAAUGGGCGAAAGCCUGACCGAGCGACGCCGCGUGCGGGAUGAAGGCCUUCGGGUUGUAAACCGCUGUCAGUGGGGAGGAAGGCUCUGUGAAGAGCAGGGUUUGACCUAUCCGCAGAGGAAGUACGGGCUAAGUUCGUGCCAGCAGCCGCGGUAACACGAACCGUACGAACGUUAUUCGGAAUCACUGGGCUUAAAGGGUGCGUAGGCGGUCUGGUAAGUUGGGUGUGAAAUCCCUCGGCUUAACCGAGGAAUUGCGCUCAAAACUGCCAGACUUGAGGAAGUCAGAGGUGAGUGGAACUUAGGGUGGAGCGGUGAAAUGCGUUGAUAUCCUAAGGAACACCAGUGGCGAAAGCGACUCACUGGGGCUUUUCUGACGCUGAGGCACGAAAGCUAGGGGAGCGAACG
RNAcentral lists this ribosomal RNA (420 nucleotides) under uncultured prokaryote. RNAcentral describes it as "bacterial SSU rRNA". It matches the Rfam family "Bacterial small subunit ribosomal RNA", at positions 355 to 774 of the family's 1533-position model. The record is from RNAcentral.